UACGAAGGGGGCGAGCGUUGUUCGGAUUUACUGGGCGUAAAGGGCGCGUAGGCGGCCAUUCAAGUCGGAGGUGAAAGCCCAGGGCUCAACCCUGGAAUUGCCUUCGGUACUGUUUGGCUAGAGACCGGAAGAGGUAAGUGGAACUGCGAGUGUAGAGGUGAAAUUCGUAGAUAUUCGCAAGAACACCAGUGGCGAAGGCGGCUUACUGGUCCGGUUCUGACGCUGAGGCGCGAAAGCGUGGGGAGCAAACAGG
RNAcentral lists this ribosomal RNA (253 nucleotides) under uncultured bacterium. RNAcentral's name for it is "partial 16S ribosomal RNA". It matches the Rfam family "Bacterial small subunit ribosomal RNA", at positions 524 to 776 of the family's 1533-position model. The record is from RNAcentral.